Clupea harengus (Atlantic herring) is the source of this 1657-nucleotide long non-coding RNA. NCBI's taxonomy places the organism in Eukaryota, Metazoa, Chordata, Actinopteri, Clupeiformes, Clupeidae. The record is from Ensembl.
CCACACCUGGCAGACUACAGUGUUUGGGUGCGCCGCAUUCAUUUACCCUUGUAGAACGUUGCGUCGCAUAAGUUCCGCUUUUGGCGCUCGGGUGUAAAAUCAUAAUAAAGAAAAAAAAAAAUGAGUUGGUCAGCACGGGGUGGCCACAGGGGUGGCCAGGGACAUGUCUACGGGGGCACGGGCCACCCCAGGCCUCCGUGUAGAACCGCCACUGAUAAUCAGAUUAGAAAAGUUAAGUAGGAAUUAGUAGCCUAUCAACGCAACACGUCAAGUGUUCAGAUUCAGAAGGCUGCCGCUAUCAGCAGCAUCCAGCUGUGCGCGGCAACACCUGUUUUUUGGUGUGAGAAUCAAUCCCUGAUCUCAGCAUCGUCAUCUCAUGGGAUAGUUUCAUAUGAACUAAAGAAGAAUGGUGAUCUCUUCGUUCGUGUGGUAAUUUGUCUGUAUGAGGAGUGACAUGACGGGCCAUGAUGAGUAAAAUCCCCGUUCAUAAAUUACAUAGGCUUUUUAAAAAUCGAAUCGAAUCGAUCUCUUAGCCUCAUGGACGCAGCUGUAACAGCGAGUGAUACUUAACCAUCCUAACUUUACAGAAUCAUUGUAGAGCUACAGAACCUGUACCAAAUUGACAUAAUUGAUGUGUUUGUGAUUUAUAACUCGUUGUUGUGUGGCACUUUAUGAAAUAUAUCUAUUUGUGUACCAUAUGCCCAAAAGGUUUAACAUUAACCAAGCUGCGCUAUCUAUUGCUAGCUACCUAAGGAAAUUGAAAAUAUUCUAUAACACAGAGCUCUAUGAACAAAGAGUUUAGGAUACUCCCCCGCCUAUUAUAAAGUUCUGUGAUCUUUGAUGAACUGUGUUGGAAGACAUAACCGUAAGAACCAGAGACUAAUGCAGCUUUUAUGUAAGGGAUAAUGUAUAGUCCGGAGGUCAUUAUCGGGGGAAAAAUCCCGACGGGACGAACAGGACCCCGACGCGCAGCAGAUAAGUGUAUUUAUUAUACGGCUCCUCAGAAUGUUCCAAAAAGUUCCGUUGAUUUGAAUGGGCCAUCGCGAAUUAAUGACUGCUGUCAUUGGCAACGGGUUUUAUGAUUCUAAUUCACAUCUUCCAUAUCAUUCAAGUAAUCCGUUCACCUAAUUAAUUGUAACUUGAAGUCAGCAAGUACUGGAACGGAAACCCUUGACUUUAGUGAAACCGUGGCAACGGGUGAUAUGUCUAGUUGAGAGCUGUAUAUGUGACGUGACCUGAGGCUCAGUAGUACCACACGUCACAAUGCAGUUAUAUUGGUGUAUAACUUACCUCCUAGCCCCUUUCAUUCCAACUUGUGUAAUUGUCCGGAUAAGUAAAGUAGCCUAAUGUAGAUGUUAUACACCACUGUGCCAAAUGGAUGAGGUAACCGAUGAGGAGUCUGAUGAUGACUCUUACAAUUUGAGGAAACCUAAAGGAACGAAACUGACUGUUGCUGAGGGUGAUUCGGCAUGCUACAAUAGGGCACAUUUGGGAGAGACGCUAUACCAGGAGUCUCCCGGAUUUGAGCUAUCCGAUCCAAAUAUGCACCUGAUUGAUGGCACCUACAACUGCCUCCAUGAUGUCCAUUUAAGGACAUUUUUCAAAAAGCCAGAAAGAAAAAAAAAGCUUCUACAGAAUGGCUUAAUUACUACUGAUG